RNAcentral lists this ribosomal RNA (452 nucleotides) under uncultured bacterium. Its description in RNAcentral is "bacterial SSU rRNA". It matches the Rfam family "Bacterial small subunit ribosomal RNA", at positions 338 to 795 of the family's 1533-position model. The record is from RNAcentral.
CCUACGGGUGGCAGCAGUGGGGAAUCUUGCGCAAUGGGCGAAAGCCUGACGCAGCGACGCCGCGUGUGCGAUGAAGGUCUUCGGAUCGUAAAGCACUGUCGCCCGGGACAAAUGCCCGCAAGGGAGAGAUGGUACCGGGAGAGGAAGCACCGGCUAACUCUGUGCCAGCAGCCGCGGUAAUACAGAGGGUGCGAGCGUUGUUCGGAAUUAUUGGGCGUAAAGCGCAUGUAGGCGGGCCAUCAAGUCGCGUGUGAAAGCCCCAGGCUCAACCUGGGAAGUGCGCGCGAAACUGGAGGCCUUGAGUGCUGGAGAGGGUGGCGGAAUUCCCGGUGUAGAGGUGAAAUUCGUAGAUAUCGGGAGGAACACCAGAGGCGAAGGCGGCCACCUGGACAGACACUGACGCUGAGACGCGAAAGCGUGGGGAGCAAACAGGAUUAGAUACCCCUGUAGUC